Molecule: ribosomal RNA, 480 nt
Filed under: uncultured Acidovorax sp.
Lineage: Bacteria; Pseudomonadati; Pseudomonadota; Betaproteobacteria; Burkholderiales; Comamonadaceae
Description: bacterial SSU rRNA
Rfam family: Bacterial small subunit ribosomal RNA
Source: RNAcentral
CGUACAAAGGAAUUGACGGGACCGCACAAGCGGUGGAUGAUGUGGUUUAAUUCGAUGCAACGCGAAAACCUUACCACCUUUGACAUGUACGGAAUCCUUUAGAGAUAGAGGAGUGCUCGAAAGAGAACCGUAACACAGGUGCUGCAUGGCUGUCGUCAGCUCGUGUCGUGAGAUGUUGGGUUAAGUCCCGCAACGAGCGCAACCCUUGUCAUUAGUUGCUACAUUCAGUUGGGCACUCUAAUGAGACUGCCGGUGACAAACCGGAGGAAGGUGGGGAUGACGUCAAGUCCUCAUGGCCCUUAUAGGUGGGGCUACACACGUCAUACAAUGGAUGGUACAAAGGGUCGCCAACCCGCGAGGGGGAGCCAAUCCCAUAAAGCCAUUCGUAGUCCGGAUCGCAGUCUGCAACUCGACUGCGUGAAGUCGGAAUCGCUAGUAAUCGUGGAUCAGAAUGUCACGGUGAAUACGUUCCCGGGUCUU